UAAAACCCACUCAUAGCUUGCAGACCACACCAGGGACAGGGAGCCAGGUUUGCCCACAGGCUGAGGUUCGUCCGCCAACCCCAGUCAGAGAAGAACCAGCUCCAGAUGGUUCUCUGGUGUCCCCCACGAGGAGUGUGAGGAUCUUAACCGCCAGCCACGUCUGACUUCUGUUUCCUGAAGCCCGGGUUCGGGGCCCCUGGGUUGUGACCAGGAAUCCAAGCUAUUGCUGUGCCAGGCGCCAGGAAAGACUUCCCAGGCCUCACCCUUCUGAGUGGUGAAUUCGAAGAUCUCUGAGCUCUCACCGGGGUUGAAAUGCCUGAAGUAGGAACAGUUCUUCUCUGCAAAGGAGGAAGACGCUAGUGAGUUGGGAGGAAAGACCAGCAGCAAUUGGAAGCCUGGCUGAGAGAAGUUGGCGUCAUUCUGCUGGGUCCAAAUUUGUUCCCCCGACCCUCAGAACACCCUUUCCGCAGGACAAUGGGGUUGCAUAAGCAGCCGGGAGAUCCUCAGGAAGCAAAGGCCAAAGGAGUGGACAGGACAGGGAGCGUGUGCUGCUGAGCCUCAUCAGGCCCACAGGCUGGGGCCCAGGUCUGUCAUUCAUCCGGGGAACAGGGCACAGGACCAACCCGCCGUUCUCAGCCAAGCAGCGCCUCACCCUGGGGACACUGGGCAAGGCCUGGAGACACUGUGGUGUGGAGAGGAGGCUCUUGGCAUCUGGAAGCCGGGGGAUGCGGCAGGACACCCCACAAUGCAGAGGACAGACCCCCCACAACCUAGAAUUAUCCAGCCCCAAAUGUCAAUAGCCAAGAAACCUUGUAUUCACCCAAAAUGUGGGUUUCUUAUCAGAAUCCAGGCCCACCCAGAUUCACAGGGGUACCCGGGAAGCAGGCUUUUCAAAAGCUUUCCAGGAGAUUCUGAUGCUCAGCCAAGUUGGGAACCCCUGUUCUGGCCUUUAAAAAUUCUAGCAGAGGGUUUUUCCUGAGUGACUGUCAGGAUGAACUUGAACCCAGGCAGGAACGUGAGAGCUGAGUGUGACCCUCAUGCCAUUUCCUUAGACCUUCAGGAACCGUGCUUGUGUGGCAGGCCAGACAGAACCUGUCCUGGCAAGCUACUUGCUCUACCUGAGCAUUGUCUUAAAAGCCACAGAAGGUCUGUGGACACCCAAAAUCUGCAUCUGAUAGGGAGGCAGGACGAGGGGUUCAGCACAAAGAAAUUCUUGCUGAUUUGAACUAUAGUUUCACUUUUAUUUUUCUCUUUUAGUCUCUCCUCUCUCCUAACUAGAUACGGCAUGAAGUAGAGUCUUCUUGCUUACCUUUACUCCAGAUUUAGGGAGCAGUCAAUGAGUUAUUUUGUAUUAGUUUAUAAUAAUUCUUAAAAAAAAAAAAAAACCUCAAUUAGGUUGCUUUUUAUUUGUGUGAGGCCCUUCAUUGAACGUUGCCUCUGUCUUUGGUUUAAAUGACAUCUACUUUGUGAAUUCACGGCUUCACCUCCAGGCUACAUUGGGUUGAUCACAAGGAGACGGAUGCUCUUUCUUCUAGGAAUGUGCCCUAGGAGCUGCCAAAGGCAUGGCUUUACUGCCACCUAAUCCUGUGUCCUCCUACCCAUUUCCUGUCCUCCAAAGUCAGGGUUGCAACCUCUCCUGAGGUUGAGGAAGGAGGCGACACCCGGGGAUGGGGUCUGGUUUAGCAGCGGUAGAUGUUCCUGGCAGUAAACAGCCUUUCUCCACCAGCUUCUAUAUUUAAGUCAUUUUCCUUUUGAACGAGUUACCUGGGGUUCCUAGUGGCCAACCACGAGGUCAGAAUCGGUGCUGCUCCUUUCUCCCUCACAGCGUCGCUGCUAUUUUAGAGCAUAAUGCAAACCUCUUACGUUUUUCAGAUUAUAAGCUAUAGAUUUUCUGGAAUUGCUGCUUCAAAAUGGCUCAUGCUAUGUCACCAGUCUCCCUGGGUCUCCCUCCGGACAAAAGGAACCUUUCUCUUUUUUUUGUGUCUUAAGAGCCCAUUUCAGUUGUCAUUAAAAACGCUCCGAGGAGGAUUGACUGGAUUCAAGCGUUUCACGGUCAGCUGCCUCCCCGGCCACUCUCUCUCCACGCGUGGGGGUGGUGAGCUGAAGGCCACCUCCAGAGUCUGGCUGCACGUAGCUGUUUGGUCCUUCUGGGUUUCUGAGGUGACUUUCCCAGGAAGCAUUCAGGUGCCAACCCCACAGGUAAAUCAGGUCCACUCGGGGUGGACGGGGCCCAUGGCAUGAGUAGGAUGAACAGCAAGCCGUGCAGUCGGGGCUGGGCCUGUCUGCAGGCGCCAGGCUGUGAGCGCUAUGUCUUCCUGGGGUGGUCCAGGCCCACCGCUCUCCUCUCCCUCUUCUCCUCUACUAAAUGCCCUCACAGCGGGUGGAGGGAACAGGGUGCCCAGCGGGUGGGAUCCCCUCUUCUGGAAGCAUCAGCUUCUCUCUGAUGGGUCUGCUCUGUGGGCCCAAGGGUGGAUGGGAUGAUCCACCUCCUGCCCUGGACUUGGCCCAUGAAGAAGGCCAGUGUCCUCUACCCUGGGAGGAGCAUCCCCUGCAGGACUGUGUGGCUGCCUGAGGGGGACCACAGGCCCCUCCAUGGUCCCUGACGGCCCCCAGAGGUGGAGUGGACACACCAGACCCAGGCCUCAGUUGGGACAAGCCAAGUCAGGCAGCUGCCAGUGUCACUCAAGAAGGGCCCAGGGCGCUGUCAGGUGGCAGCCCCAGCUGUGCCCCCUGGUCCGCGUGGGUGGUAUUUGGGAAACUGCACAUCGAGGACACCUUGAAAAGGAGGGACAUCCAAAGAGGCCGUGAGAAGCUCACUGGGUCAAGGUAAGGAGUUGGGGGAAAGGGACAGGGACAGUCUGGCACGGACAGCAGAUUCCGAGCUUUCCUGCCCACCUUUCUCUCCACCCCUACCUCCACUUCCAUCACUCCUGAGCACAGCUCGGGCCUCCACAGACGCAGGUGCUUCUGAUCAAGUGGGCCGCGAGCCCAGCGGCCAAGAGGAGGGUCCGGGAAGAGUUAGGAUUUCUGAGGUUCCUCCCGUCCCCUUUCCUCUCCAUCAAUGGCUUAUGGUGAUCUCAACAUUUCUCUUUCUGUAAGACUGAGCGGUUGAAAGAUGUGAAGUGGAUGAGUGCUCAAAGAAGACAGGGAACUCAGUUGUCAGUCUCCACUGGGGGCUGGCGGGGGCCGGCUAACCACGUAUUCUGGCUUAGGGAGUCACAGGAGGUACAGAACCCCGGCUGGCGUGCCAACCUCAAAGGACCAGAGCCGAGGGCACGUUGACCCCCAGGUGAACUCGAGUAACAGGAUGAUCUGGACGGUCACCGAGGAUGGACUCGGGCAGCGGGUGCCGGUUAAUGGAGAAUUUAAUACACUCAGGAUAAUUUGUGGGUGUGAGGAAAACCAGAGGGAGCUGGUGCCUCCGGGAUGGGGAAGGAAGUUCCUCCCAGUGUCAUUCAUCCUUUUUGUAAGGGACGUUCCCAUCACUGGUCUCUCAGUGCUGUGUCUCCUCUCACCUCCACUGAAGACUGGAGAAAUGCCGGGACCCGAGUCCCCGAGUUUCAGAGCCCUGCUCUUUGACAGAUAAAGUCCAGUUACGGUCUCAGCCUCCGGCCAGGGCUCAUGUGGAUGGUGAAGGGAGCCCCUGAGAUUCCUCAGGGUCAGUGCAUGUGCUUUCACGAGGCCCCAGUAUCUGCACUGAGUCUAGGGGAGAAGAUGGGCCAUGAGGGUCCUGGGGCCCUGGAGUAGCUGCCGUCUUUCCCCAAGGAAACAGAGCCUGGAAGAAGCAGGAGCAGGGGAUGGUGUCUCUGGGGACUGACCUGGGCCUCCAGACACAUCAUCUCUUCUGACCACUGGGGAGGCCUCUGCUGUCAUUAUGAAGACAUCUGAAUUGACCUCAGAUGUUGAUCUAGUACACAGUACUCCUUCUGAGGCUCUUUAGGGGCAGUGGAAAAAUCAGACAGUUCCUGUACUCAGAGCCUCGAGCAUCUAUGGCUGAAUGGGGCCUGGAGAAAUCUCCUUCUUGUACUAGACUAGCUGCCCCCAAACCAUGGUAUGUCAUAAGCUGAACGCCUCAUGGUCACUUGGGCCAGCAGCAUUUAGUGGAGGAUGUGGGGGCGGGUGUGUCUGGAGAGCAAGGAGGCUCUGGAUUCAAGAAGUGAAGGUUGAACUUCAGCCUGUCAGAGGGUUAGGCUGGGAAGGGCAUGCUCAGCCUCAGUGCUUCUCCCUGUAGAAUGAAAAACACCUAUAGGAUGAGCACCUGCCUGCUGGCUUGUUGAACUUAGUAUAACGUCGUGAUUAAGAAGGUAAAGGUUAGGGACAGGGCCUGGGUGUGAAUACAAGAUGCUGCACUCAGUAACUGAGUGAACUUGCUCAACUAGGUGUGCCUCAUAUUCUGUAAGAUGAAAUGACAAUCAUGUGGUGGAUCUCAUGGAGGUUUCUGGGAGAAAUCAGAUGAGCUAAUAUAAGUAUGCCAGUCCAUUGCUUUCCGGUCUCUAUCUGCUUUUGAGGAAAAUCAACUGUCUAUCUUAUUAAGGAUCCCUUGGGUGUGAUGUGUUGUCUCUGUUUUCAAGAUUCUGUCUUUAUCUUUUUUUUUUUUUAAGUAUUUUUUUUAGUUGUAGAUGAACACAAUACCUCUAUCUAUCUAUCUAUCUAUCUAUCUAUCUAUCUAUCUAUCUAUCUAUCUAUUUAUGUGGUGAUGAGGAUUGAAUCCAGGGCCUCACACAUGCUAGGCAAGCGCUCUACCACUGAGCCACAACCCCAGCCCCUUUGUCUUUAUCUUUCAAAAGCUUGAUUAUGGACUGACUAGGUAUAGAUCUAUUUGAGUUUACAUUUCUCAGGCUUCAUGGAGCUAUAUGGAUUUAUAAAAUAAUAUUUCAUUCAAUCUGGGGAGUGCUAGCCAUUAUUUUUUCGUAAUCAUUUCUGUUCCAUUCCCUUUCUCUCUCUUCCUUUCCUUCUGGAACUUUCAGAAUGCACAUGUUGGUAUCUUAGAUGGUGUUCCACGGCUCGCUGAGGCUCUAUUCAUUAUGCUUCAUUCUUUUUUUUUUCUCUUUGUUCCUUACAUUUGCUAAUCUUGGUUGAUCCAUUUUUAAGUUCACUAUUUUUUUUUUCAUUUCUCUUCUCAGAUCUCUUACUGAUUCUCUAUAAUCAAUUUUUUAAGAUUUCAGUUGUUACAUUUUUUAACUCCAGAAUUUCUGUUUGGACCUUUGAAAAUAAUAUUUGUCUCUUUACUGAUAUUCUCUAUUUCAUGAGACACCAUUCUCAUUUUUAGUUUUUUAGAUAUGGAGUCUUUUAAUUCUUUCAAUGCAUUUAAAUAGCUGAUUUGAAGUCUUUGUCCAGUAAGUCCAAUAUCUGGGCUUCCUUAGAGAUCUGUUUACUCAUUCCUGCUCCCUGACCCCACAAACAGUCCAUAACAUUUUAGUUACUUGUGUGGCUUGUGCUUUUUUUGGUAUGAAGAAUUGAAACUAGAAGUACUUAACCUCUGAGGCACAUCCACAACCCUUCAAUUUUUUUUCUUUCUUUCUUUUUUUUUUUGAGACAGGGUCUAGAUAAGUUGCCUAGGGCCUUGCUAAGUUGCCGAGGCUGGCUUUGAACUUGCGAUGCUCUUCCUCAGCCUCCUGAGCUGCUGUGAUUAUAGGUAUGUGCCACUGCAUCCACUAUGUCUUGUGUUUUUUAAGUAAUAUGAUGAGGCAACACUGGAAAUCAGAUUCUUGUUCUUGAGGGUUUGCUUCUGUUGUUGUUUGUUGUUGCUUAUAUAGUGACUGCUCUGAACUAAUUUUGUGAAGUAUGUAUUCUUAGUCAUGUGUGACUACUGAAAUCUCUAUUCCAUUAGCUUAGUAGCUGGUCAAUAGAGAUUUCCUAAAAUGCUUAGAACAAAUGCGUCACCCUCUCUACUGAGGGGCUCUGCACAUUUGAGACAUGGCUUAAACACUUAGAGAAGCAGCCUACAUCUCUGCUUUGGCCUUCACUUUGUAUUUGUACAGAACCUCAAGAUAAGGCAGAGGUGAGAAUUCAGGGCCUUUGCAGAUCUUUCCUGAGCAUACACACAGCACUGUACAUGGCCUUCUAGAUUAUUAGGACUAUGCUUCAGUUCUUCAAAGCUACCUCUGAACAUCUCAUUCUCCAGUUCUUUGCAUAGCCUACCACAUGGCCCAACUGUUAUCUGCAGCUCAGGCAGCCAUGAUAUUAACCUAUCAUCUCUAAUUGUUUUCAACAAAUGCCCUUGAGAAAUCGACUAUUUGCACUGGAUGAGCUCAGAGUUGGGCCACAUAAUGAUAGCUUUGCAAGUAAAGACUUCUAGGGAAUGACCACAUAGGUCAGAUAAUGACAGUUAUCUAGAAAAAGGGUUUUGAAAGAGAUUCAAUCCUUUCUUGUCCCCUGUAAGUGGCUACCAGGCUGCUGAUUUUCACUGUGAUGGUGAGAUGUUGAUUUUCAAAGCUGCAACAAAGAUGGGGGAAGAGGAAUGGGAAAUAUAUUUUAAAUAACUGAUUGUUGUUCAGUAAGUCCAAUAUCUGGGCUUUCUUAGGAUCUAUGGCUGUAUUCUGUCCCCUCUCCCAUAAACAGGCAAUACUAUUUAAAUUCCUUGUUAAAGUAAAAAUACCACAAAACUUACUCUUCAUCCUAAGAGUUACCCAUUUUCUUGAACAAGCAAUUCUAGAUUGCUACAAGAUUUGGUAGAUUGCCACAAUUCUGAAAACAUUGAUUUGACCUUUUUUUUUUUUUUUUAAAAAAAUUGUUUUGUCUUUCUUUUAUGGAGAAGAAGAUUUGAGGGGAGGUGGUUCUUAUUCUGUCAUUUUUUCCCCUGAUGUCACCCCAAAUUAAUAUACAUAAAGCACCUACAACUAUGUUUGGCACAUAGUGCUACAUUUGUGUGGCAUUAUUGUAAUUAUUAUUGAUAAUAAAAGAACAUAUGCAUACAACCCCCACCUAGAAAAGAGUGGUUCCAGAGCAUAGGAAGGACAGAUGGAAAAAUAAAGGAAUUUCCAUUUGCAGAAAAAAACAGGAAAAUGGCAGGAACAUGCUUUGGAAGAUUAUUGGGGGGAGGUAGUGCUCGUUGUCACAAAUGUGGGAAACAUGAUUCAUGGCAAAGAGAUGGACCGCUCAGGCUCCAGGCCAAGCGAUGCCUGCUGGUCCCCUGAGGCUGGUCCUCUAGCCAGUCUGUCUCUGCCCUGAAGGGACCUUGCUCACUCGUUUGCUCAUCUGCUCUGACUUUAAAAGGCAGCUGCCUCCAAGGACAGGUGGACAGGACCACAAUGUGUGUCCCCAUGUGUGGUCCCUGGAGAAGCUGCCUCACCCUGCCCUGCCCUGUCCCGGGAGCUGGCUAGAUGAUGCAUCUGUUUACCAGUGUGCAGCAGUGGCCAAGGGACGUGGGCGUCUGGGCUAUGUGAUACCCUUCAAGCACAUGCCCACGCCUAUCAAAGCCCUUAGCCCUGGGACUCAGCGUUUCCAAGACAGCUGGGUAUUUACGAGUCUCUGGGUGCUCAGCAGAGAUGAGCAAGGCUGGGGCUCCCUCAAGCAAGCAGAGGGGAAGAAGAAGAAGGCCAGGAGUGGGAGGUGGGGUUUGGGCUCUUUGCCCCACACCCAGUCUGCAAGAUCAUUGGGGUCUCAGCGCCAAUUCCCUUGAAGCGGGGGUUUCAGGAAUACGUGGUCAGGUAAUAGAAUAAUUCUGAGCAUCAGGAGGAAUGUCACACAUACCCUGGUCCACUGCCACCUUGGAGACACAUUCAUAAGUGUGUCUCCAAGUGGAUCUUAUGUUGCUGAGCCCAAGUCCUGUAUUUUAUAGAGGAGGAACCAGAGGCUGAGAAGGACCUCAUCCUCCCUGAAUAGUCAUCCUGGAGGUGGUGAGCAGUGGUGGCUACAGCCCAAGCCCCCUUCCCCGUGCAGUACUUUUUCCUCGAACAAGUGCUCUGAUUACUAUGAAUCCUGAGAACUCCAUGUUUGCGGAAUCUCUAUUCUGCAGAGAGAUCAGUUCACGUGAAUACCACAUAUUCCCUACCCCACUGCCCCGCCCUCGGCCCCAGUACCGGGAUUGAAUCUGUAUCAGGGGUUCUUUACUACAGAGCUACAUCCCCUGCCCUUUUGACCUUUUAGUUUGAGACAAGGUCUUGCUAAGUUGCUGAGGCUGGCCCUAAACUUGUGAUCCUCUUUGCCUCACCUACUGAAGUCCGAGUUGCAGGGUUUAGAGGCGUACACCACUCUACCUGCCUCUGAAUACCCGGGUUCUGACAAGCAGGUGGCUCAUGCCCGACCACAUCCUGUUUCAGAGACCUGCACCCUGGCUCUGCUCUCAGAAGGGCCUGUGCUUGGUUUCAUGCUCAACUUGAAAUUCUCCAUAAUUAGGAAUAAGACACUCGGUGUUUUCAUUCUGCACGGACUCCCACAAGUUCUGUAGCUAUCCUAUCUACACUCCUGCCUGGAAGCCAAGCAAUGAACCCACCAGCCCCCUGGUCCCUCCAGCCUGAGAACAUAGAGCCACCUGCCUGUCACGGAAAAGAGAGAAUGGAGCUGGGACACCAAUGGGUGACCGCUGCUGGGGUCAGAAGCCCCCGGGCUGGUAGACCUGUUCAGGGCCUCUUGUCCCACCUGGCCUGCCGUCUGCUCUGGAUGAAAAUCCCCAAGCCUCAGCCAGACAGAAGGAGCUGGAGACAAAUACCCUCAUUUGUCAACCUGGCGGCAGCCACCGGUACAGGUGCCACAGGCAGAUCCAGCCUUCUUAGGAAGGGCCUGGUGGCUGCUCCCUGACCCCAGGCAGAGAAACCCCCUUCCUUCCCAUGGGCGACCCAUCAGGGGAAUGGGAAGGGCCGGAGGGGAGAGCGGGUUGGAGAGUGGGUACGUUACCCCCAGGCAGGGUGAUGGCGCCACAGUUCUUGUCCUCAAUGUCGUCCACAGGAACGCGCGUGGUGCAAAUCCUCCAGAGGCCGAAGUGGGCUGCCUCGCAGGUGGCAUUGUUGUGCUCCAUGUGGGGGCUCAGCACGGCCCAGUAGUCCGUCACCACGGCCACCAUGGCCAGCACAAUGCCCACCAGGAUGCAAAAGAGGGCCACACGAACCUUCAGGGCUUGGGUCUGGGACAUGGUGUUCACUAAGGUGUGGGUGCCUGGGGCAGGGGGCAGCAGUAUCUCCCAGGGUAUGUGGCUGCCCCGCUAGCGUGGCGGCAGUGGUUUUCAGGCCAGGGGUGGGAGCUAACUUUAGUGUGCCUGACUGAGCCAGAGUGGGCUGGCCUUGGGGCUGAGGGACGCUGGACAGGGCCGAGCAGCUGCCCAGACGUGUCAGGGGCCUGAGGAAGGCUUCUAUUAAUGCUGCUCCCUGGGUGUGUCACCGGGGAUGGCUUCUGCUCGGAUUUCAGGGCCCUCUUCCCCUCUGGAAGUCAGAAAUACCCUGGGGCGGGGCAAGGAGAGAAGGCUCUAGAUGGUGACUUGAGACCUCCGUGGAGUGGAGCGGGGAAGGGGCACAAGGCAGCGGCCCAGGGAAGGCGACAGCCCACCAGGUGCGUGAAAUCUACCAGCUCUGGGCUGCAAGGCACAGCCUGGCAAGGGCAGGGCCCUGGGAGACCCAGGUGGCAUGGCUUCCUGGUCUCACACUGCAGGACAGACACCAAGGCAGGGAGAGCGGGCCCUCAUGCUGGGGAUCUGGGGAACCCAGGGAUCUGCCUAGGGUCAUCUCAGAGGCCACCUCCCAGGCAAGCACUUCAGCCACAGGCCCACGUAGUCCCCCAUGCUGCAGGAAGAUUCGGCUGGCUCCCGGGCCUGGCCUUCCCCACUAUGGUCACAUUAAUUCCUUUUCAACCCUCUUCUCCACUCCUGGGUCCAGAAGAAGAGCUCUGUUUGGGGUAAGUCUUCAACAGUUUUCUGAAGCUUGCAAACUGCCCUCCGGAGUGAAGAGAGACCCCACCUAAGACACAGAGCCCGGCUGCAUGGGGCUGCAGCUGUGUGCCAGGGCACUGUCCUUAGUUUUGCCUUUUGUAAGUGGAAAAUAAAGAUGAUCCAUUUAUACCUUCAUGUACAAAGAAAGCGUUUAUGUAAAAAAAAAAAAGAAGGGCAAUAGGUUGAUUUGUGGCCAGUGGGUGCACAUUCACAGCAGAGAACAGAAGAGGAUUAGAGACCCUUGUCCAAGGGUUCUGCCCCGCCUCUUCUCCCUGGGCUGGCCCUCAGCUCCUACGUGCCUCCUGGGUUCUGCUCUCUCUUCUGUUUCUGCUCAGGCCUUGUUGGGUGUAUCGAAGAGGCUGAUGCAUGACCAGGAAGAGAGCCUGAGUUGGGCAGGGCCUCAAACUUCAGAAUCCUGGCCUCAGUUUGACAGGCUCACAGAAAGACUCUCCUAGUGCGUGGAGAGACAUUCUUGGAGUCGCAGAACGUUAACACUAACGGGUGCUUCCUCUCUACCAGGCACUCUGCUGAGGCUUCUCAUGUCGUCACAGUUGAUCUUCCCACUAAUCCACAGGGUGAGAACAACGAUCGCUCCCAUUUUUUAGAUAAGGACACUGGCUCAGAGACAUGAAGUAACUUGUCCCAAUUCACACAGCCAGGAAAUGGGCUAGUCCCCCACAGUCGCCUGAAUGCCCAGUGACCCACUGACACCUGCCACGCCCUGCUCAGCUCAGAGGGGCCCUCUGGCUCCACGCAGGUGGCUCCUCUCCAUGGAGAACUCUCAGAAACUGGGCUCUCGGGAUGCUGGUCACCUGGGCUUACCCACUGCACGCCAUGCACCCCAGGACAGCAGCAGCUGGGGAGCCAGACGUUUCCGGUGUAUAAAGACAGAAGAUGGAGAAAGAGGCUGUUUAAUGAUAGCGCCGUGAGUAAGCGUGGGGUCAUUUGAAGAAAUGCAAAUGCCUUUCCCGGUAAGGAGGGCAGCUGGGGCUGUCUUGUGCUGCCUCCGGAGGUCUUGGAAAAUGCACGGCUCUUGGUGCUCACUUGACGUCGGCUGCCAUGACUUCAUGGUCUCAUCAAAGAAGCCCAGCCUCUGCGAGAGGGCAGCGUGGAGCAACUUGUGCCACGCUUUGCCUCGUUGGGGGUGGGGGGGGGAGCGCGGGUGCGUGCCAAGUCCUCGGCCCAGCGUGAGUGGAAGCAUUAAAGAUUGAUGGCCUCUUCCUUUGAAGUUGUCUUUGUGAGCCUUGCACCACUUGGCCCGCAGCUCUGGCGAUGGCAGGCCGGCCUCCUUCGCCUCCCUGUUCACUAGAUCGCUUCGAGCAGACCUUUUCUGUCCCAGGGGCCACUGUCAAGCUGUCUGUCUGCCCUCCCCGACACCCCAAGCCUUG
Ictidomys tridecemlineatus (thirteen-lined ground squirrel) is the source of this 11247-nucleotide non-coding RNA. The record is from RefSeq and is a predicted model, not a curated record. NCBI's taxonomy places the organism in Eukaryota, Metazoa, Chordata, Mammalia, Rodentia, Sciuridae.